GGUCCUUCAGGCAACUCUUUGAGAAUUUUGCACCAACAGAAAAGGAGAGAAGAAAGGAGAAAGUGGAAGGGAGUGUUUAUAUUGAAAUCUUUAUUUAGUUCCAACAGCCUAGAGCAAAGCAUCAAAACACAGAGCGCCUCAUACAAGCCAAGACAGGGAAUAGAAUUUCCAUUUGAUUCCAGAUGAGAACUAGGUCUUGUUAUAAGGGGGUUGGGUGACAAAGCUAAAUGUAAUUUAAAUUUCUACUCCAAUCUAUUUUUAAUUAUUCAUGUGUAGAUUCUUUUGUAGGGUUAACAAGGAAUUUGCCAGGAGCCAGGCCACAAAGGCUUGAGUCGUAGUUUUCCAGCAGACAUCCUGAAAAUACACUGUCACAGGCAAUCAGUGUCCUUGGGGAGGUGGCCUGUUAGCAGGGUGUUUACUAAUUGGGAUCAUUCCACAGCAGAUAAUUGUUUGUGGCACCCACGCUGAUUGGACCCACAGUAUCUUCCCAUCCUGCAAAUGGCCUGUGACAGUUUUGAUGAAUUUGAAGUUUGGCAUCUGAAUAAAUUCAAGGAAGGAGAGAAGAAAUGCUUCCACUGGAAAAUACACGUAGAAGAGCAGAGCUGUGCCCUGGGUCAGCCCCCAAAAAUGGAGACACAUGAGCACACAGAGAAAGGCCACUGAUCCUCUCUGCCCAGCCCAGUGUGAGAGGUGUCCCAUAGAAGGAGAGGUGCUCCAGUUGGUCCCAGUGCAUCAACCAGGAAAGGCCUGAACUUCAGAUGUUCUGUCUGAAUGGGGGAGACACAACCAGCAUCCCAAGAGCGCCUGUAAACAUCCCAGAAAACAGGAUAUGGAGCAGACUGUUUAGGAGCAAACACGGGUGACUCGGUGAGACUACCCACCACCAGCCAAAUGAGCCUGAACUUUGAAGUUAAAUGGUCUGAAUUCCAGAGAGUCCAAACAUUUUACACUCUGAAGUGAAAUGCCAAGUUCAAGGCGUAUAGGAGGUGCAGUGUUGGAUGAAGUGCUCUCCACAUAGUGGUGACCUCUUGUUGCUGGGUCAUCCAAGGACAUUUUCCAUGCUAAAUUCAAGUUUCUGACGGUGCACACCAUUAAUAGUCAUCAAAGUGGUGGAAGAGUUUGAUCCUGCGAGGACCUCUCCGAAACUUAAAGGAGGAGAAUAAAGAGGUCUUUUAACAGGGGGUGGAAUUCA
Molecule: long non-coding RNA, 1192 nt
Filed under: Cyanistes caeruleus (blue tit)
Lineage: Eukaryota; Metazoa; Chordata; Aves; Passeriformes; Paridae
Description: lncRNA (ENSCCEG00000008723.1)
Source: RNAcentral